GAUCCUAAGCGUAGUAUCGCUUGACAACAUCGGAGUUCACGGGUGAGGGUAGCUCCUUGCCAUCCAUGUUGGUGAGCACUAGAGCCCCUCCGAAAAAAGCCCUUUUCACAACGAAAGGCCCUUCGUAGUUCGGGGCCCACUUCCCUCGAUUAUCUUUAACAGCGUGGGAUAUCUUUUUCAGCACAAGGUCCCCCUCGUUGAACUUGCACGGGCGCACCUUCUUGUCGAACACGUUCUUUAUCCUUUGUUGAUACAGGUGCCGAUGGCUUAUGGCCGUCAAACGCUUACCUUCAAUAAGGUUGAGUUGGUCGUAGCGUGUUUGAGCCUACUCUGAUUCUUCUAGGCCCGAUUCCGCUAGUAUCUUCUGGGAAGGGACCUCUACCUCAAAUGGGAGUACCGCUUCCAUCCCAUAAAACAAGGAGUACGACGUUGCCCCAGUAGAAGUUCGUACCGAGGUUCGAUAUCCAU
This 468-nucleotide long non-coding RNA is filed under the name Glycine max (soybean). RNAcentral describes it as "long non-coding RNA (GMAX_LNC002475)". The record is from RNAcentral. Lineage: Eukaryota; Viridiplantae; Streptophyta; Magnoliopsida; Fabales; Fabaceae.